GGGCCGCUCCCUGGCCUCGCUGCCCUGUCAGUCGCCUGUGAGCUCCUGCUCCUUCCUGGGCCUGCAGCCCUGGAGAAUUUGCUCACCGAGGUAGGAGUGCCGCUGUGGGCAGUGGGCGGCGGCAGCGGACGAGCGGCCAGGCUGACCACCUCUGCCUGACUCAGAUGCCUAAGGGCCGGGCCGGCAGCCUGCCCACGACCUCCAUCGGCUGGCGCUUCCAGCUCUGGUUCCUAGGACUCACCUGCCCGGAGCGCCACCUGGCCAGACGCCUCAAGAACAAUAGCUUCUACCCAUUCGUGCAGCAGGAGCCAAACGUCUUCGUGCUCGAAUACUACCUGGACACACUGUGGAAGGGGAUGCUGCUCUUCAUCAUCAGCGUGGUCCUGGUCAGCUUCAGCUCCCUGAGAGAGGUGUGCAGAAGCAAGAGACCUGGGUCUUCCUCGUGUACGGCGUGGGCGUGGGCCUGUGGCUCGUGAUCUCGUCGCUGCCGCGGCGCCGCCUGGUGCUGAACCACACGCGCGGCGUGUACCACUUCUCCAUCCAGGGCCGCACCGUGUGCCAGGGCCCCUUGCAUCUGGUCUACGUGCGCCUGGCGCUCAGCUCCGAUGCCCACGGAAGGUGCUUCUUCCACCUGGUCCUCGGCGGCCACAGGUUGGAGCCCCUGGUGCUGGUGCAGCUGUCGGAGCACUACGAGCAAAUGGAAUACUUGGGCCGUUACAUCGCCCGGAAACUCAACAUCAACUACUUCGACUACCUGGCCACCUCCUACCGGCACGUGGUUCGCCACUGGCCACCCCCUGGCGCUGGCACUGUGAUGGGCAAGAGCCCCAUGGGUCACAAGCCCAGCUCCUCUCAGUCCAGCCUGGAGGUGUGACUCUGAGGGCCUCCCCCACCUCGGGACUGUGUUCUCGGUAACCUCCCAGCCCCACUCUGGGGCAGAUCAAAUGUGAGUCCCACUCACUGGCCUUCCUUUCAAUAAAGCUGCCUCAGCUUC
Molecule: RNA transcript, 994 nt
Organism: Homo sapiens (human)
Lineage: Eukaryota; Metazoa; Chordata; Mammalia; Primates; Hominidae
Gene: CATSPERQ
Gene name: catsper channel auxiliary subunit theta
Exons: 5
Source: RefSeq, marked validated